This 873-nucleotide long non-coding RNA is filed under the name Eucalyptus grandis. RNAcentral's name for it is "long non-coding RNA (EGRA_LNC000414)". The record is from RNAcentral. Lineage: Eukaryota; Viridiplantae; Streptophyta; Magnoliopsida; Myrtales; Myrtaceae.
UUGCGAAUUAGGCAAAUAACCCUAUUCGGAAAUGCGCUUAUCAUUUAAAUAUGCACGUAAGAUAUUGUAAAGCAUGUUUUAGGCAAUAAAAUAUUUAAAUCAAAUUUAGAUAUGAUAAUUACCUAAUUCCUCAAAUAAUAUUGCCAAAUUUGAAUUGAAUGGAAUCGCUCAACGAGUAACCAGCGGUGUGUGGUGGUGCUCGCAUGGCUUCUCAGCACGGUUUAGGGCUUGAAGGUGACAGCUUUUGAUGGACCGCUUGGACUACCGGAUUUGUCCAGAUCUUCUGCUUCAGUUUCACUUGGGCCAAAGAAUCAAAUUUGCUCCCUUUGGUCUCCACGUCGAUUCCCAGACUUUGACUUGCUAAAGCCCAUGAUCACAUUAUUCAUUUGCGUUCUCAAUUGAAGGAGCAGCAGCAGCACGUCAGGAAUGAUAGUGGCAUUUUAGGAUGCAACGGCUAGAUGUUGCUGGAAAACCUGCAAACAGAGACUAUGAGCGCUAGUUCGCUGGUGCCAGUGUUUGGACCCGACGCGGGCUGGUCACGGUGAACACCGGGAGAUCUUGAUUGUGAUGGUUCGCUGGACGAGCACCAAAAAACCUGCAAAAACAGAGAAUACCGAAGGAAGAACAGAGCAGGAGUCGUCGCGCGGUUGGUCCAAGUCACGGCAGGCCGUGAGGGGGCCUCGUGGGAGACUAAAACAACAGCAGAUGAGCGAGCAGGGGCGCGGGACUCGGGCGUCAGCAACAGGUGGCGAGGGGUCGAGUGGAUCGCAGCGGAGCGCUGUGCAGGGGGUCAGCCACAGCAGCGGAACGGAACAGGCAGUGGCGAAGGCGGUCUGUGGCGCUUGCGGGAUCUGCACCUGUUGUCGUCUGGGG